UACGUAGGGUGCGAGCGUUGUCCGGAAUUAUUGGGCGUAAAGAGCUCGUAGGCGGUCUGUCGCGUCUGCUGUGAAAACCCGAGGCUCAACCUCGGGCCUGCAGUGGGUACGGGCAGACUAGAGUGCGGUAGGGGAGAAUGGAAUUCCUGGUGUAGCGGUGAAAUGCGCAGAUAUCAGGAGGAACACCGAUGGCGAAGGCAGGUCUCUGGGCUGUAACUGACGCUGAGGAGCGAAAGCAUGGGGAGCGAACAGG
RNAcentral lists this ribosomal RNA (253 nucleotides) under uncultured bacterium. RNAcentral describes it as "partial 16S ribosomal RNA". It matches the Rfam family "Bacterial small subunit ribosomal RNA", at positions 524 to 776 of the family's 1533-position model. The record is from RNAcentral.